UACGUAGGGUGCGAGCGUUAAUCGGAAUUACUGGGCGUAAAGUGUGCGCAGGCGGCCGAGCAAGUCGAGUGUGAAAGACCCGAGCUUAACUUGGGAAUUGCGCUCGAAACUACUUGGCUGGAGUGUGGCAGAGGAAGGUGGAAUUCCAGGUGUAGCGGUGAAAUGCGUAGAGAUCUGGAGGAACACCGAUGGCGAAGGCAGCCUUCUGGGCCAACACUGACGCUCAUGCACGGAAGCGUGGGGAGCAAACAGG
This 253-nucleotide ribosomal RNA is filed under the name uncultured bacterium. RNAcentral describes it as "partial 16S ribosomal RNA". It matches the Rfam family "Bacterial small subunit ribosomal RNA", at positions 524 to 776 of the family's 1533-position model. The record is from RNAcentral.